UAAUUGAAGAGUUUGAUCAUGGCUCAGAUUGAACGCUGGCGGCAGGCCUAACACAUGCAAGUCGAGCGGCAGCACAGAGGAACUUGUUCCUUGGGUGGCGAGCGGCGGACGGGUGAGUAAUGCCUGGGAAAUUACCCGGUAGAGGGGAAUAACCAUUGGAAACGAUGGCUAAUACCGCAUAACCUCGCAAGAGCAAAGCAGGGGACCUUCGGGCCUUGCGCUACCGGAUAUGCCCAGGUGGGAUUAGCUAGUUGGUGAGGUAAGGGCUCACCAAGGCGACGAUCCCUAGCUGGUCUGAGAGGAUGAUCAGCCACACUGGAACUGAGACACGGUCCAGACUCCUACGGGAGGCAGCAGUGGGGAAUAUUGCACAAUGGGCGCAAGCCUGAUGCAGCCAUGCCGCGUGUAUGAAGAAGGCCUUCGGGUUGUAAAGUACUUUCAGUAGGGAGGAAGGUGGUUAAG
Molecule: ribosomal RNA, 462 nt
Filed under: Vibrio cholerae
Lineage: Bacteria; Pseudomonadati; Pseudomonadota; Gammaproteobacteria; Vibrionales; Vibrionaceae
Description: bacterial SSU rRNA
Rfam family: Bacterial small subunit ribosomal RNA
Source: RNAcentral